RNAcentral lists this unclassified non-coding RNA (156 nucleotides) under uncultured Glomerella. RNAcentral describes it as "sequence contains ITS2". The record is from RNAcentral. Lineage: Eukaryota; Fungi; Ascomycota; Sordariomycetes; Glomerellales; Glomerellaceae.
CAACCCUCAAGCACCGCUUGGUUUUGGGGCCCCACGGCACACGUGGGCCCUUAAAGGUAGUGGCGGACCCUCCCGGAGCCUCCUUUGCGUAGUAACUUUACGUCUCGCACUGGGAUCCGGAGGGACUCUUGCCGUAAAACCCCCAAAUUUUUUACA